This 216-nucleotide long non-coding RNA is filed under the name Elaeis guineensis (African oil palm). Its description in RNAcentral is "long non-coding RNA (EGUI_LNC055296)". The record is from RNAcentral. Lineage: Eukaryota; Viridiplantae; Streptophyta; Magnoliopsida; Arecales; Arecaceae.
AUUUUAGGUCUCACUGGUAUGAUCUCAUUAUGGUCCUAAAAUUAUUGCCCUAAUCUAUAGAGUUUAUCAUAAUCAUAAAAAUAUGAUGCAUCAAAUAAUAAAAUACUAUAUCUCAUAAAUAAAAUAACUAAUGUCAUGCAAAUGAAUAGGAAGAUAUCACAGAAAAGUCUCUUCGUAUCACCAUGCAUUGGCUUGUAGAGCACUAUUCUUUCAAGA